Gossypium hirsutum (cotton) is the source of this 107-nucleotide non-coding RNA. NCBI's taxonomy places the organism in Eukaryota, Viridiplantae, Streptophyta, Magnoliopsida, Malvales, Malvaceae. The record is from Rfam.
GAGUCCUGAUGAGGGCACUUCCAUAAUAAUUAUUUGUAGCUUUCUCAUGCCUUAUAUAAGGACUCAUCAACCGUUUGUUGGAAAGUAGUGAUCUCGUUCCUUAACUU